RNAcentral lists this transfer RNA (72 nucleotides) under Candidatus Opimibacter skivensis. Its description in RNAcentral is "tRNA-Leu". The record is from RNAcentral. Lineage: Bacteria; Pseudomonadati; Bacteroidota; Saprospiria; Saprospirales; Saprospiraceae.
ACAGUUGCUCAACUGGGCUAGAGCAUGGCGCCAAAAGGCGCCAGGGUCAACGGUUCGAAUCCGUUACCUGUG